This 205-nucleotide microRNA precursor is filed under the name Leersia perrieri. Its description in RNAcentral is "MIR812 microRNA precursor family". It matches the Rfam family "MIR812 microRNA precursor family". Lineage: Eukaryota; Viridiplantae; Streptophyta; Magnoliopsida; Poales; Poaceae. The record is from Rfam by way of RNAcentral.
AAUAUUUGACGCCGUUGAUUUUUUGACACACGUUUGACCGUUCGUCUUAUUCAAAAAUUUUAUGUAAUUAUUAAUUCUUUUCCUAUCAUUUGAUACCUUGUUGAAUAUACUUUUGUUCAAACAUAUCGUUUUAUAUAUUUCACAAAUUUUUUUGAAUAAGAUGAAUGGUCAAACGUGUCUCAAAAAGUCAACGGCGUCAAAAAUA